RNAcentral lists this unclassified non-coding RNA (249 nucleotides) under Mortierella alpina. Its description in RNAcentral is "partial internal transcribed spacer region". The stretch from base 1 to 46 matches the Rfam family "Eukaryotic small subunit ribosomal RNA", at positions 1786 to 1831 of the family's 1831-position model. The record is from RNAcentral. Lineage: Eukaryota; Fungi; Mortierellomycota; Mortierellomycetes; Mortierellales; Mortierellaceae.
AAGUCGUAACAAGGUUUCCGUAGGUGAACCUGCGGAAGGAUCAUUCAUAAUCAAGUGUUUUUAUGGCACUUUCAAAAAUCCAUAUCCACCUUGUGUGCAAUGUCAUCUCUCUGGGGGCUGCCGGCUGUCAAAGGCCGUGUGGUCACCUUUGGGAUUUAUAUCUACUCAGAACUUUAGUGAUUUUGUCUGAAACAUAUUAUGAAUACUUAAUUCAAAAUACAACUUUCAACAACGGAUCUCUUGGCUCUC